RNAcentral lists this ribosomal RNA (253 nucleotides) under uncultured bacterium. RNAcentral describes it as "partial 16S ribosomal RNA". It matches the Rfam family "Bacterial small subunit ribosomal RNA", at positions 524 to 776 of the family's 1533-position model. The record is from RNAcentral.
UACAGAGGUCCCGAGCGUUGUUCGGAUUCACUGGGCGUAAAGGGUGCGUAGGUGGCUUGGAAAGUUUGAUGUGAAAGCUCAGGGCUUAACCCUGAAAUGGCAUUGAAUACUAUCGAGCUGGAGGUUUGGAGGGGGGACUGGAAUUCUCGGUGUAGCAGUGAAAUGCGUAGAUAUCGAGAGGAACACCAGUGGCGAAGGCGAGUCCCUGGACAACACCUGACACUGAGGCACGAAAGCCGGGGGAGCAAACAGG